Molecule: non-coding RNA, 113 nt
Organism: Ceratotherium simum simum (southern white rhinoceros)
Lineage: Eukaryota; Metazoa; Chordata; Mammalia; Perissodactyla; Rhinocerotidae
Source: RefSeq, a predicted model, not a curated record
UUCCUCAUUUCUUAUGGCUGAAUAGUAUUCCAUUGUAUGUAUAUACCACAUGUUCUUUAGUCAUUCAUCUGUAGCUGGAGACUUAGAUUGUUUUCACGUCUUGGCUAUUGUGA